UCCUGGCUUAGGACGAACGCUGGCGGCGUGCCUAAUACAUGCAAGUCGAACGGUCUUUCUAUGGAAGCUUGCUUCCACUGAGAAGAUAGUGGCGAACGGGUGAGUAACACGUGGGUAACCUGCCCAUAAGAGGGGGGAUAACAUCCGGAAACGGGUGCUAAUACCGCAUAGUUUUCUUGAUCGCAUGAUCGGGAAAGGAAAGACGGCCUUUGUGCUGUCGCUUAUGGAUGGACCCGCGGCGUAUUAGUUAGUUGGUGAGGUAACGGCUCACCAAGACGAUGAUACGUAGCCGACCUGAGAGGGUGAUCGGCCACAUUGGGACUGAGACACGGCCCAAACUCCUACGGGAGGCAGCAGUAGGGAAUCUUCCGCAAUGGACGAAAGUCUGACGGAGCAACGCCGCGUGAGUGAAGAAAGGUUUUCGGAUCGUAAAACUCUGUUGUCAGAGAAGAACAAGUUGGAGAGUAACUGCUCCAGCCUUGACGGUAUCUGACCAGAAAGCCACGGCUAACUACGUGCCAGCCGCUGC
Molecule: ribosomal RNA, 529 nt
Filed under: uncultured bacterium
Lineage: Bacteria
Description: bacterial SSU rRNA
Rfam family: Bacterial small subunit ribosomal RNA
Source: RNAcentral